UUCAGUCACAAAGAGAAGGAAGGGCGAUUCGCCAUCGAGCAUCUCGCAACCUAAUUUUCAACCAAACAUGAAACCCAUGUUUUUCAAUUUUCAAGGUAUACGCAGCUUUAUUUUAUUUGUUAUUUUUUUCUAGAUUUAAUGUUUCGUAUUCAAUGUCUGUCUUCCAAUGGAUUCUGCAAUCUUAACUUUACCUCUGUUUUAGUAACCCUGAAAUCGAACUAGAUCUAAUUCAUAUGCUGUUCAAGAGAGCUCCUUUUAUCCAUCAGAGAGAUGUUGGAACAGGAAAGGUCGGUUGAGAACCCUAAAUCGUGGAAUAUGGGUUUAGCUUUUGCAAAUUUGUUAAAUAUCGAUUGGUAAGUACCGAAGGUUUGUUUGAACACUUGUUUUUGUUAGGAAACUUAGUAUGAAAUUUUCAGCCCUGUACAAGGAUUUUUUCUUAGUUUAAUAGAUGAGUUUUAUAUUAUCAACUAAUUGGAAAUCAUUGUUGGUUAUAAUUUUUAAGUUAUUAUUAUUAUUAUGAAAAUUGAUAGACUUAUUAUACAUGACGUUUCGAAUUCCUCUACACAUUCAUUACUUUUUUAAACUUAAUGUUCAACGUUUUUUUUGUCAAAAUCACAUUUCUCUUUUGCAAACGGGAAUUUCUAGGCUGUGCUUUCAUAAAUCUUAACAUGUCAGAUGUCUGAGUUUGUUCAGGCUAUAUUAGAUUGCUCUCGCUGUGCUGGAUUGCAGGUAUUUUCUGCUUCUUCAGAUGACGAACAUUGAGUUUAUAUUGCCCCUUGUCUGUUAUUUAUAGAAAUUGUGGAUCUUUAUGAUUUCAAUGAGUGAAUUCAAAUAUUGGAUAUUGGCUGCUUGAUGUUUGACACAUGGUUGUUUGUUGCGUGCUAUCUUCCAUUCCCUUAACAAUCAAAAGGAGUAUCUGCUUAACAUGGUUUUAUGGUAUUGGUUGUUAGAUGGUACUCACACUGCUAUCAUUAAAUAUCGUUGUUCAUGUCACUUCAUGUGUUGGAUACCUACUAAAUAUCACGUUAGCAAAUAAGCUGUUUACUGUGAAAAAUCUAACCUUGGAAGUCAUAAUGACCCCAAGAUAAUAUGAACUUAAAAGAAUUAGGAUUUCCUUUACCUAGAAAUCCAGAUUGAUUUGAGUGAUACAAGGUUUUCAAAUGGCUAUACAGAAUAUAAUUUUCUGCUUAGAUGUCUCACCAUAUUAUCAAGGAAAUAAAUGAAGUUCCAAAAAUUUGAAUAUAUAUGCUCCUAGGCAACUUGGCUAAUUGAAAACAAAUGUAGUUCUUUCUGUUAAGAAAUUUUAAUUGAAUGAUGAAACUUGAUAAAAAAAAUCAAGUGAAAUAUGUUGCCAUAUAGCUGGAGGCAGCAUUCAAAGGAUAAAAAUAGACAGUUGCAUUUGGUACCAUUUGGUGAGUGAUGAGUAAUACUAGCUUGGAGUUUUCCAGUUUUCCCGCAUACCUUUUUUGUGUAGUCUUUAGCUAUAUGAAAAUAUCAAACUCAAGUGUAGUCCAUAACUCCAUUGCCUAUCUAGUGUCGAGCCGAAUGGAUACUGAAGUUUUAUUCUCUAACCCUCUAUGCUAUAAAAUGCAAUAGCUACAUGGUUAUGUAUAUAAAAGAAAAGUAACUAACAGUCAGAAGAAGGCAGGUUCAAUUUCAAGACAUUGAACAAUUCUGGCUUUAGAAGUCAUAAUAAGAACAUAUACUUGCCUUGUUUUGGUUACUCUUCAACUACUUUUGAAGUGCAUCAUCAACCACUGCUAUUUACACAAUCAAAUGACUAAUUUAACAAUUAUAACUAUUCAAGCUUACCCCAUAUGUUUUAAGAGUGUUUUAAUGAUGUUUUUAAAAAAAAAAUAUGUAUUUCCAGUGUGAACUAUGUUACUCCUAAAUGGAUGAUUGUAAUACUGUACGAUGUUUAUAUUAUUGAUGAAAUAAUUUUGUGUGUGAGAUGUUUAAUUCGACACUUCACAAAAAAAGAUGGGGAUAAGAAUGUUUUACAUCAUCUUCUAAUUCCCAUGUAGAAUCACCUGUUUUUCUAUCCCAAACUACUCUCACUAAGUCGAUAGUUUUCCCUCUAAGCUCAUUUGUUUUAGUGUCUUCUAUACUAACAGGUUGCACUUCUACGGAUAGAUCCUCUCUGAUUUGAAUAUCUUCUACUUCUAAAAUGUGAGAAGGAUCAUGAACAUAUUUUCUUAGUUGAGAAACGUGAAAAAAUGAAUGGAGUUUGGCUAACUGAGGAGGUAACGCCAUCUCGUAAGCGACAAGCCCAAUUCUUCUCAAAAUUUGAUAUGGACCAAUGAACUUAGAAGAAAGUUUCUUCGAACGAAGAGCCCUUCCUACUCCUGUGGUUGAAAUGACCCGUAAAAUGACAUGAUCUCCGACUGCAAACUCCAAUGUAAUUCAGGUCCUAUCAAAGCCUUUUCACUAUCCUGGUACCAGCAUAAAGGAGUUCAACAUCGUCUUCCAUACAGAGCCUCGUAAGGUGCCAUUCCAAUACUAGCAUGAAAGCUAUUAUUAUAGAUUGUCCAUCGGUUUGGGGAUGAUACGCGGAACUCAUUAGUAACUUGCUGCCCAUAGCUUCCUGUAGAGUUUGCCAGAAUCUAGAAGUGAAUCUUGGGUCUCGAUCUGACACAAUGAUUGAAGGGACGCCGUGCAAUCUUACUAUCUCUUUUAUGUACAGUUGUGCCAACUUAGCCAUUGACAUUCUCAGAUUUAUUGCUAAAAAGUGAGAAGUUUUUGUCAAUCGGUCAAUGAUGACCCAGAUAGAAUCAUUACCUCUUACUGUCCGUGGUAAAUGAGUGACGAAAUCCAUAGUAAUGCUAUCUCAUUUCCAUUAUAGUAUGUCUAAUUGUUAUAGCAAUCCUUCAGGUCUCUGAUGUUCCACUUUUUCCUUCUGACAAAUUAAACAAGCCGUUACAAAUUGUGUUACUUCCUUCUUCAUUCCUGGCCACCAAAAGGACUCCUUGAGAUCUUGAUACAUUUUAGUCAUACCGGGAUGUAUGCUAAAACGACUUUUGUGUCCUUCUUCAAAGAUUAGUCUUUUUAUAUCUGCAUUGUCUGGUACACAUAUUCUACUUCUAAAUCUUAAUACAUCAUCAGAUCCUAGCCUAAAUUCUUUAGCCUUAUCUGUACCGAUCAUUUUUGUUAUCUUUUUCAAGCCAAGAUCUGACAAUUGCUUCUCUUUAAUUAAAAUAAGAAAAUCGCUAGAUAUAGUCAGACUACUACAUCUAAUGAAAUCUUCUCCAAACUCCAUCUGUAAC
Long non-coding RNA from Vigna umbellata (rice bean), 3263 nucleotides. RefSeq lists it as uncharacterized. NCBI's taxonomy places the organism in Eukaryota, Viridiplantae, Streptophyta, Magnoliopsida, Fabales, Fabaceae. The record is from RefSeq and is a predicted model, not a curated record.